UCCUAUCUACUUUUAUUGAAAUGUUAUGAUUUCUUUGCUCUUAUAGAAUUUUGAAUUAUCUGCCCUAUGCAGAUGUCUUUACUAAUCAUUUAAGUGUAAUUUCAUGGACAAUGAAAAUCCCAUUUGUCUGUUAUCUUCAGAACACUGCUCAUUUACAAGCCCCCAAGGAGCAAUUUUUGAAGGCCUUGUGCAACAAAUACUUAAGAUCUUUGUGCAAUCAGUUUCUUUGUUGAAUUAAUGAGAUGAAACAUUGAACUCUAAUAAAAAAUAUUGAGCAAACCUGG
Molecule: long non-coding RNA, 284 nt
Filed under: Mytilus galloprovincialis (Mediterranean mussel)
Lineage: Eukaryota; Metazoa; Mollusca; Bivalvia; Mytilida; Mytilidae
Source: RNAcentral